Molecule: ribosomal RNA, 215 nt
Filed under: uncultured bacterium
Lineage: Bacteria
Description: partial 16S ribosomal RNA
Rfam family: Bacterial small subunit ribosomal RNA
Source: RNAcentral
UGGGAACGUGCCCAAAGGUACGGAACAACUCCGGGAAACUGGAGCUAAUACCGUAUGUGCCCGAAAGGGGAAAGAUUCAUCGCCUUUGGAUCGGCCCGCGUCUGAUUAGCUAGUUGGCGGGGUAAUGGCCCACAAGGCGACGAUCAGUAGCUGGUCUGAGAGGAUGACCAGCCACACUGGGACUGAGACACGGCCCAGACUCCUACGGGAGGCAG